RNAcentral lists this ribosomal RNA (406 nucleotides) under uncultured bacterium. RNAcentral's name for it is "partial 16S ribosomal RNA". It matches the Rfam family "Bacterial small subunit ribosomal RNA", at positions 28 to 526 of the family's 1533-position model. The record is from RNAcentral.
GACGAACGCUGGCGGCGUGCCUAAUACAUGCAAGUCGAACGAGGGGCGGACGGGUGAGGAACACGUGGGAACCUACCCAUCAGAGGGGGAUAACUACUGGAAACGGCGGCUAAUCCCGCAUACUAUCGGAUGAACACAUAUGGGAUUAGCUAGUAGGUGGGGUAAAGGCUCACCUAGGCGACGAUCUCUAGGUGGUCUGAGAGGAUGACCAGCCACACUGGAACUGAGACACGGCCCAGACUCCUACGUGAGGCAGCAGUGGGUAAUAUUGCACAAUGGGCGCAAGCCUGAUGCAGCCAUGCCGCGUGUAUGAAGAAGGCCUUAGGGUUGUAAAGUACUUUCAGCGGGGAGGCGUUCCCCGCAUAAGAAGCACCGGCUAACUCCGUGCCAGCAGCCGCGGUAAUAC